CGGGUGAGUAACGCGUGGGUAACCUGCCUUGUACUGGGGGACAACAGUUGGAAACGACUGCUAAUACCGCAUAAGCGCACAGCUUCGCAUGAAGCAGUGUGAAAAACUCCGGUGGUACAAGAUGGACCCGCGUCUGAUUAGCUGGUUGGUGAGGUAACGGCCCACCAAGGCGGCGAUCAGUAGCCGGCCUGAGAGGGUGAACGGCCACAUUGGGACUGAGACACGGCCCAA
RNAcentral lists this ribosomal RNA (231 nucleotides) under uncultured bacterium. RNAcentral describes it as "partial 16S ribosomal RNA". It matches the Rfam family "Bacterial small subunit ribosomal RNA", at positions 103 to 334 of the family's 1533-position model. The record is from RNAcentral.